UUUCCCUCGGAAGUUCCUCGAUUCCUCAUUCAGUUUCUCGCCUCCUUUUUUGAUCGUAGCGUAGUUGGUUCUGUUUGAACAAAAUUUUACGGAAAAAUUAUUAUCACGCGACGCGACUAGAUUACAGUUGGCGCUUGAGAUCUCCAUCGAUUGUUGUCACUUUGUUGGUCCAGUUAUGAUAAAUCCCAGGCUGCUGCAAGGAUGUUUUGGGUACGAGUUUUGAGUUUGUUUUGAGUUCCUGUUCUAACGGUGAAGGUUCACGCAUGAUAAAGCUGCUGCUCUUUGGCAACAGUUGUGCAAUCAACGAAACCGAAUAGAUAUUACUACUUUCGACGAACGAAGAGAAGCGAGUGCGGGGAAGGACGGGCAGGGCAGUUCUGGCUGUAGCAGAUAUUUCAGUAGAAGAUUGAAGACAGAAUUUUGACUCUCACAGCGAGUGUCUACGACUGGAAAGUGUCGUGGCUGGCCGCUGGAGAGGCCUCCGUGGGCUUCCUAUAACUUUGUGGUGGAGAGGGGUGUGUGUUUUUUGUUCUGUUUUUGGAGGGUCAGACACCUGGCGGUUUAGUAUACUUCCUCCACCCCCCCUCCCCCAAAACCAUGCUUCCGUGUGUGGAUGUGCGCACCACUCCAGUAAUGGGCAUUGACUAUGCAUUAUCCCCUUUUUAGACAUCAGGGUAGGACUUCAUUCACUUCGUCGUCCAGUGGAACAGUAGGCUUAUGAUGAAGUCGUGGACUGAUGAAAUAUUUUACAUCCUUCGGUGGACUUUCAGGAUAAGUAAUAAUUAGUACGCGAAGAGCUUGUAUGGUCACGUCUUUGUAUAUAAAGCUGUCUAGGGGACGAACUCUACUUACCUUGA
Molecule: long non-coding RNA, 857 nt
Organism: Macrobrachium nipponense
Lineage: Eukaryota; Metazoa; Arthropoda; Malacostraca; Decapoda; Palaemonidae
Exons: 3
Source: RefSeq, a predicted model, not a curated record